GCUAUCCAGGACAUACGAGGUGUGAUAAUAUCUGGUAGAUGAUGGAGCGUUACAACUGCAAUCUGGUUAUCAGGCAGUUGUCUUUCUUUCAACGGCAGUAUUACAGCCCGCUGACAUAGUGUCAUUGCACCCGACGUGCGUCAUUCCUCCAUUUUCUGCUGCUCGCGGACAGCUGCGGAAUCCACAGCCAAGUGGCACCCUCUUCAGGUCAGCCUUCACGAAGAGCCAGCUGUAAGUUUUAAGAACCAGGCGAAUUCAGAAUUUGGGAUGUGUUAGAUUGCGAGAUGAGGGUCCUGAGGGGUGGAAACAAUAGUAUGAGAAUGCAGAUGACGCCAGGGAUCA
RNAcentral lists this small RNA (342 nucleotides) under Histoplasma ohiense. Its description in RNAcentral is "hypothetical lncRNA". The record is from RNAcentral. Lineage: Eukaryota; Fungi; Ascomycota; Eurotiomycetes; Onygenales; Ajellomycetaceae.